UACGUAGGGGGCGAGCGUUGUCCGGAAUUACUGGGCGUAAAGGGCGUGUAGGCGGCCUGAUAAGUCAGAUGUGAAAUCCCAAGGCUUAACCGUGGGUUUGCAUUUGAAACUGUCGGGCUUGAGGGCAGGAGAGGAAAGCGGAAUUCCCAGUGUAGCGGUGUAAUGCGUAGAUAUUGGGAGGAACACCAGUGGCGAAGGCGGCUUUCUGGACUGCACCUGACGCUGAGGCGCGAAAGCUAGGGGAGCGAACGGGAUUAGAUACCCCGGUAGUCCUAGCCGUAAACGAUGGGUACUAGGUGUGGGAGGUAUCGACCCCUUCCGUGCCGCAGUUAACGCAAUAAGUACCCCGCCUGGGGAGUACGGCUGCAAGGCUGAA
This 376-nucleotide ribosomal RNA is filed under the name uncultured bacterium. RNAcentral's name for it is "bacterial SSU rRNA". It matches the Rfam family "Bacterial small subunit ribosomal RNA", at positions 524 to 898 of the family's 1533-position model. The record is from RNAcentral.